GGUAUUAUACUUUAUUUAGAAGAUAUGAUUUGCACUCAUAAAGAAAGAUAAUCUCUUUUAUACCA
This 65-nucleotide transfer RNA is filed under the name Euprymna brenneri. Its description in RNAcentral is "tRNA-Ala". The record is from RNAcentral. Lineage: Eukaryota; Metazoa; Mollusca; Cephalopoda; Sepiida; Sepiolidae.